CCUGUUUAAAAAAUAAAAGUUAUAAGAAAAAGAAUGCAAGAAGACAAGGUGGAUAGUACGCAUAUUAUUUACACAAAAUAAGAAAAUGAAUAAUUUCUGAUCUAAGGAAUAUUGAUAAAGUACUGUAUUUUUUUUCUAAUGCAGUAGUUAUGAAAUUCUCUGCAUUUUUCUAAAUACCCUGUAAUAGGAACCAACUCCUAUGCUUUCACUGUUUACAUUUUUAGGUACAGUGUCUUCCUAAAAAAUUACACAAGUACUGUAUAAAACUAUCUUGUGGAUAAAUGAAAAUCUCCGCAUACUCUUUGUACAGUAUAUAUCAAAUUCAACUUUCCCUACUUAAAAGGCCAAUAAAAUUACUGUACAGGUAGUUUUUUUUUUGUGCCAAUGGCUCAACUGUCUAGUUCUCUCACUAGUCCAUUUCGAAUUGGUUUUACUUUAUGUAAAAUCCUUUAUAGUUUGAGCCUUUUUGUGACAAGUGUUCCAUAUUUUUCACAUUUAUUUAUGCUUUAGAUGCAUUAACGCUAUCUGUACCUUAGUAAGAGAACUGACAGAUCACAGAUAAAAUGUUUAAAAAUAUCAGUACUGUACAGUAGAUCUAAUAUUAAAAAUCAGGGCUCUCUUUAAAAGUCGUACAUCAUUUUAUUUAAGCUCUUAAAACUUUUUUAUGGAUAAAAAAAUGCAUCCUCUCCUUGCUGGAAUUAUCCACAAGCAACUUUUCAACUUGGUUCUAUACCACAGAAAGUUUUGCUGAAGAAACUAAGAAAUAUUCCUCUAGUAUAUUGUUUAAACCUGUCUAAGUUUGUUUAUAAUUUAUAAAUCUCCCUGCAUCCUGUAGUUUAUUAAGUGGCAUUUACUUACAAGAUAUAACAAGUGGAGUUACUUUAAUUUCCUCCAACUUGAACAUUGUCCUGGGGUAUUUCUAUUCAUUACAAAUAAGGUGGAAUUCAUGUAUCACUGUACUCUUUAAAAUAUAUCACACUCAUACCAAGAAGCGAAGAAUUAAUGCUAUAAUUUUGUUAAAUAUUCGUGAAAGACUGUGGUGGGAAUGUACUUUUAAACUUCAACACCUCUGCAUUAUAUUAUUAAAGGAAGAUUAUAAAUGUUGUGAUGUUUCCCAUUAAAGCUCAUGUUGGUUCAAAUAUGCUUGCAUUCAGGCCCACAGGCUACAGUACCAUCAAUAUCAUGGAAGAAAUGGCAAGUUUAAAAAAUAUAUACUUGUAUUUACAGUCUAGUGCAUUUACAGGGGGCCUAUCAGGUUCUGUGCAGUGUGGCAGCUGUGUUUGUUUACAUUCAGCAGAAGUAAACUCACAAUAGUACACCCCUGUAAAUGCACUAGUGAUGGGGAUUGUGCAUGUUAGUUAAUACCGUAUAAGCUCGUGUCAAGAAGGAUACUAUUGUUAGAUCAUUAAACUUACACCGUCAGUCAUUAAGAUUAAGUAUUAUUCAUGCCUUAACCAACUAAUGCUUAGUAUUAUUACCAGAAAUUUGGAUAUAAAAAGCAAUUAAAUGGAUGCCUGUUAGUAUUGUUAUAAACUUUUCUCAUUUCAGUUUCAUUCAGUUAUAUUGAAUACAGUAUCCAAUACAGUAUUCCAAUAAUAAUUCUAGAGAUGUUCGUUGUUGUGAAAUAGUAACUUAAAACCACGAUGAAAAUAUGCAUCUCUUAUUAUAUCAGUGGUGCCGACUUGUGAGAAGGAACGGGUAAACAAUAUCUGGGGCCUUGUUGUGGAAAGGAAGUACCAUAGCAGAAUACAGUACACCUUUUACACUAGUAAAGGUGAAUGACAAUGAUGGGAAAAAUGGAAAUAAGUGUACUGUAUAUGCUGUUUCUGGACAUCCUGCAUCAUAAGAGGAAGAAGAGGACCCUCAAAAAGUCAAUGUUCGAGACUGAAAAAUGCAAUAAAAACAGGAAGGAACCACUAAAAAGAAUAUUAUUAAAUCCCAAUUUUGAGAUUUAAUUGAAUGAACAUUAAUAAUUAGAAUAAAAAAUAAUUAGUAUGAUUAUCAUAUCUGUAAUUACUUUUAAGAGGAGGAGGUUGUUUUGUCAAUCAAGGGGCCAAGAAAUUUGCUGUAUUUUCCAAUAAUCUCCUUGCAAAAUGUUCUCUAACUAAUUUUGGAGGGGAACCUUACAAGUACUGUAAUGUCCUCUUGAUUAACCAUAGUAUUUACAUUGAGGGUACUGCAAAUAAGCAAUGGUUGAAUAUUUAUUUUAUCUUUUGAUUAAGAAACUCAUUCCUUCUAUGAUGUAGUAUGGCUACAAAAAGAGCCAACACUUCCUCUUUAUUCAUUGGCUGUCACCUAUUCUCAUUAACUGCUGUAACAUUCCCAUAAACUUGCAGAGAUUUGAGCCGAGUGAUAACAUACUGCCCGAUAAAAAUUAGUGUUAAGCUAGGAUUCCAUUCACGUGUUAGCUGUUGCGUUAGCACCAAAAAUAUAUCACAUUGAAAUGUACACGGUUAUUUCCAUUGGCACGGUUACAGUACAUGCCAAUUACUCCCUGUAGCGAUAGAAGACGCAAACGCACUGCAAACGCGUGAAUGGAAUUCUAGCUUAAGGCUAGUAGCAGAUUAAGAUUAGCAAAGAUGGUACAAUAUGGUCAUAUCAGAGAAUGGAAUAUAAAUAUUUUAAAGGGAGUGAAGAAUAACAUUCAGAGGUGGAUGGUAGGAGAGAAAAGGAGAUUGAAGGAUGCAUUAGAAAUGAGAGGGAUGAGCAUCUAUGAAGCAGUGAUGUGUGUUGUGUCAAGUGACUUUUGGAGAUGGAUGUGCUGUUGGUAGGUUGUUUGAAGUAAGGAAAUUUCCCGGUGAUGGCAUCAUUGAUGGGUCAAGUCAGUGGAUUAUGCUAGAGGAAUGAUGGGAGUCUCAACAUAAGAAUUUCCUUAUAAAGAUGAACACUUAAAUAUUCCAACAAACUCUGAAGUCACUGGUCCAUCCAGCAAGGUUUAUACUGUGUUUAAAGUCUCUAUUUUUCUUAUUGGGAUACCAUGAAAUGUACAGGUACUUAUUUUUAAUUAUUUACUUUUUCCUCAUUAAGUGUAAUACUUUGUUCCUUCAGGGGAAAUACUUGCCCUAUUUCAGGUACGGACCAUCUCUAAAACCUCCAGUAUUAAAACAGAAAUUAAAUUAUUGUAAAGCUCUCUCUAAGUGUGUGCGUGUGUGUGUGUGUGUGAAGCAUUCCCCACUUGCAAUAAGAAAUAAGAGGCAAGAAAAUACUGUAAGCCACAAGAGAGACUGGGACAUUAAUUGAGGGAAGAGUAAAUACUUAAAAAAAGGAAAGAGCACCCUAUUUACUUUUACCAUGAUAGGACUUCUAUAGGCAACUGUUAGCCAAUCCAUCUAGUGUCUUCUUUUACAUGACCAGAUACGCAGAAGUAGUGUACACUACUGUACUGCACUAUAACCCAAUUGUACAGCAUUUAAAUGAAUAAGAUUUGCAAGAUAA
This 3435-nucleotide long non-coding RNA is filed under the name Homarus americanus (American lobster). RNAcentral describes it as "uncharacterized LOC121878430". The record is from RNAcentral. Lineage: Eukaryota; Metazoa; Arthropoda; Malacostraca; Decapoda; Nephropidae.